UUUCCGUAGGUGAACCUGCGGAAGGAUCAUUAUUGGAUUUUGAAACUUCAGGCUGCUGCUGGCUCUCCUCGGCGGGCAUGUGCACGCUUGUUGUCCAUUAUUUCUCCCACUGUUCACAAAUUGUUGACCAUUCAGUAGGCCUAAGUUGUUUUUCACAAUCUCUGAAUGUAAUAGAAUGGUUUUGAAUCUUGGGAAAUACAAUACAACUUUCAGCAACGGAUCUCUUGGUUCUC
Molecule: unclassified non-coding RNA, 233 nt
Filed under: plant metagenome
Description: partial contains small subunit ribosomal RNA, internal transcribed spacer 1, and 5.8S ribosomal RNA
Source: RNAcentral